RNAcentral lists this ribosomal RNA (304 nucleotides) under uncultured bacterium. Its description in RNAcentral is "partial 16S ribosomal RNA". It matches the Rfam family "Bacterial small subunit ribosomal RNA", at positions 506 to 809 of the family's 1533-position model. The record is from RNAcentral.
CAGCAGUAGCCACGGUAAUACGGAGGGAGCUAGCGUUGUUCGGAAUCACUGGGCGUAAAGCGCACGUAGGCGGCUAUUCAAGUCAGGGGUGAAAGCCCGGGGCUCAACCCCGGAACUGCCUUUGAAACUAGAUAGCUUGAAUCUUGGAGAGGCGAGUGGAAUUCCGAGUGUAGAGGUGAAAUUCGUAGAUAUUCGGAAGAACACCAGUGGCGAAGGCGACUCGCUGGACAAGUAUUGACGCUGAGGUGCGAAAGCGUGGGGAGCAAACAGGAUUAGAUACCCCCGUAGUCCCUGUCUCUUAUAA